UACAGAGGUCUCAAGCGUUGUUCGGAUUCAUUGGGCGUAAAGGGUGCGUAGGUGGCGGGGCAAGUCAGGUGUGAAAUCUCGGGGCUCAACCCCGAAACUGCACUUGAUACUGCUUUGCUCGAGUACUGGAGAGGAGACUGGAAUUUACGGUGUAGCAGUGAAAUGCGUAGAGAUCGUAAGGAAGACCAGUGGCGAAGGCGAGUCUCUGGACAGUUACUGACACUGAGGCACGAAGGCCAGGGGAGCAAACGGG
RNAcentral lists this ribosomal RNA (253 nucleotides) under uncultured bacterium. RNAcentral describes it as "partial 16S ribosomal RNA". It matches the Rfam family "Bacterial small subunit ribosomal RNA", at positions 524 to 776 of the family's 1533-position model. The record is from RNAcentral.